This 792-nucleotide long non-coding RNA is filed under the name Strongylocentrotus purpuratus (purple sea urchin). Its description in RNAcentral is "uncharacterized LOC115920161". Lineage: Eukaryota; Metazoa; Echinodermata; Echinoidea; Camarodonta; Strongylocentrotidae. The record is from RNAcentral.
AGCAAUGACGUAAAAAAUACGCCAAUUACUGUUUGUUGAUUGGCCAUCGACAAAAUGUUUUAUGUAUUAGGUCAUGCAUAAAACAUUUUUUGCAUUCCCAGAAUUCCCUACGAUUUGAGCAAGAAAAUGACGAAAAAUGGCGGUUGUAUGAACUGCGACUUUGAGGUUUUUCAAUUACGAACAAGGACACACUUUUCUUUUAAGUGAAUUUCUAUUAUAAUAGAAGUUUGUCAAGUACAUCUCAGUGAAGCAGAAAAUCUUUGGGCGAACAUUGACAUCGGAGUGAUACCCUAUGAUAUCAAGAAAAAUCCUAUGGAACCAAGAAGCAGAUAAUGACCACAGAGGUGCAACAGAGACUACCAGUACCUGAUCAUCGUAUGUUAUGGUGUAGAUCUCAGGAACAGGACACCUAAGUUGAACUCUGGCAAGGUUGUCCCAAGCUGCAUGGUUUGAUACCCAGGCUUCUUUUGUACAAGUCCCUAGUCCACCCUCAUCUUGAGAUCUGUUCCGGUGUCUGGGAUCCCUACAACAUCUAAGAUGUCCAGGACGCUACUUCACAAUGGGGACCACAAGAGAACCAGCAGUUUGACUGAGAUGAUCAGCACCUUUUAGUUGCCUACUAUAUCUACAACUACAAGGCACUCUGCAAGAAGACUGGGAAUGGUGCAUAAGAUAGUCAAUGGUCUCUCCGCUCUCCCUUGAAAAUUUUCCCACUGCACUACUUAUAGCUACUUGUGCCCUCUAUAUAGCAAACAAUGCCUAAUCGGUGACUGUUGGUCCCCCAUGAUCCUC